Long non-coding RNA from Mercenaria mercenaria, 358 nucleotides. RefSeq lists it as uncharacterized. NCBI's taxonomy places the organism in Eukaryota, Metazoa, Mollusca, Bivalvia, Venerida, Veneridae. The record is from RefSeq and is a predicted model, not a curated record. The transcript has 3 exons.
CACCUGUUCGUGUAUCGACGUAUCCUCAAAAUUAUGUUUAACAAACCUGAACAUUGUUGUUAUUCGGAUUAAAGAAGACUUAACACAUGUUACAUGACUCAUAAAAAUACUGGCGGAAUAAUGACACACCUGUAAACAAAGAUGAGUUUCACGAAAUUUGAACUCAGCACCAUUUCACUUUCACUUGCGGUUUGGAUAGUGAAUUGUGCAGGUUUACCAUGGCCAGAUUUCGAGAGUGGAUGGUUGCCUAUUAUAAACGGCCUCGAACAUGUUGCUAGACUUAACAUUGACCAUGGUUUAGGAGAAAUUCCUGUUCUGGUUGAUGUGUCGGUAAAGAUCAAGGAAAAUAUAUUUCCGG